Molecule: transfer RNA, 60 nt
Filed under: Stenopirates sp. PJ-2015
Lineage: Eukaryota; Metazoa; Arthropoda; Insecta; Hemiptera; Enicocephalidae
Description: tRNA-Asp
Source: RNAcentral
AAAGAAUUAGUUUAAAAUAAAACAUUAAUUUGUCAAAUUAAAAAUAUAAUUUAUUCUUUU